GUCAGCAUGGCCCUUAUGCCUUGGGCCACACACACGCUACAAUGGAUGGCACAAUUGGUUGCAAGAGCGCAAGCUGGAGCCAAUCCAACAAAGCCAUUCUCAGUUCGGAUUGCAGGCUGAAACCCGCCUGCAUGAAGUCGGAGUUGCUAGUAAUCGCAGGUCAGCAUACUGCCGGUGACCUACGUUCUCGGGCCUU
RNAcentral lists this ribosomal RNA (196 nucleotides) under uncultured Chloroflexota bacterium. RNAcentral's name for it is "uncultured Chloroflexi bacterium partial 16S ribosomal RNA". It matches the Rfam family "Bacterial small subunit ribosomal RNA", at positions 1189 to 1382 of the family's 1533-position model. Lineage: Bacteria; Bacillati; Chloroflexota. The record is from RNAcentral.